This 800-nucleotide ribosomal RNA is filed under the name uncultured bacterium. RNAcentral describes it as "bacterial SSU rRNA". It matches the Rfam family "Bacterial small subunit ribosomal RNA", at positions 78 to 890 of the family's 1533-position model. The record is from RNAcentral.
GCUUGCUGGGGUGAUUAGUGGCGAACGGGUGAGUAACACGUGAGUAACCUGCCCCUGACUCUGGGAUAAGCCCGGGAAACUGGGUCUAAUACUGGAUAUGCACCGUGGACCGCAUGGUCCUUGGUGGAAAGAUUUUUUGGUCAGGGAUGGACUCGCGGCCUAUCAGCUUGUUGGUGAGGUAAUGGCUCACCAAGGCGACGACGGGUAGCCGGCCUGAGAGGGUGACCGGCCACACUGGGACUGAGACACGGCCCAGACUCCUACGGGAGGCAGCAGUGGGGAAUAUUGCACAAUGGGCGAAAGCCUGAUGCAGCGACGCCGCGUGAGGGAUGACGGCCUUCGGGUUGUAAACCUCUUUCAGUAGGGAAGAAGCGAAAGUGACGGUACCUGCAGAAGAAGCGCCGGCUAACUACGUGCCAGCAGCCGCGGUAAUACGUAGGGCGCAAGCGUUAUCCGGAAUUAUUGGGCGUAAAGAGCUCGUAGGCGGUUUGUCGCGUCUGCCGUGAAAGUCCGAGGCUCAACCUCGGAUCUGCGGUGGGUACGGGCAGACUAGAGUGAUGUAGGGGAGACUGGAAUUCCUGGUGUAGCGGUGAAAUGCGCAGAUAUCAGGAGGAACACCGAUGGCGAAGGCAGGUCUCUGGGCAUUAACUGACGCUGAGGAGCGAAAGCAUGGGGAGCGAACAGGAUUAGAUACCCUGGUAGUCCAUGCCGUAAACGUUGGGCACUAGUGUGGGGGACAUUCCACGUUUUCCGCGCCGUAGCUAACGCAUUAAGUGCCCCGCCUGGGGAGUACGGCCGCA